UUCUUGUUCAUCGAAAGCACAGCGACCCUGCUGCGAACGGCAUGACUAGCCGUCUCGCUCUCACCCAGCGACACCCGGGACUACGUUCAGCAACAGCUAUUGUUGUCUCUCUCUUAGUGGCAGUGCAUCCUUUAAUUGCACCACAAUACUAAAUCAAUCGAUUAACACGAUAUCAAGAUAUCUAAUUGCAAUUUCAACAGUGUAAUAUCGCACUGACACGACAUAUAUUUCUUACUUAUAUUUUUACUCUCACUUUCUAUUGGGCAACUCUAGAAACUAAAAUCUGUUUAAUCGUAGUCGGCUGUCUAAAAUACGUAAAACUCGGCAAGUUCAGCUCAAUGUUUGAUUUUGUUCAAUCAAACAUAAACCAGAAACCUUAACACUUCGUAACUUUUACAUUUUAUUAAAGUAUCAACUAUAUAAUAAACGUAUUUCAAAAUUGUAUAAAAUAUAUUUUUUUUUGGCAAAGUUCUGAAUUUAUAUCAUGAAGUUAAAUCUACACAACAUUUAUCAUUAAUUAAGGUUAUUUACAAUUUCAUAUAUUCACGAGCUCUAUUCAAUGAUGGCAGCCGAGAGCUAUGAUCUCAGUCGAUCGCAGCUGCAGCUCUAGAAGUCUGCCGUUGGCCCGCGGCGCGGACAUGUGGUGCCCCGGCUGGGGAUACUCCAUCUGCGGCAGGGUGCUGCUCUGCUAGAACGUUUCCCAAUUGCACCCCCUGAAGCAGCUGGGGUUGCGCUAUUUGGUGAUCUACAGCGCGAGAUGCUGUCCAUUCGCCGUCGGGAAGAAGAUACAGCUUCAGCAACCCAUUAGUCAGCAUCUCGAACAGCAGCAUCAGGCCGGCGAUAGGCCGCAGCAGCAACAGUGGCAACAGUAGCAACAGCGACAACAGCAACAGCAACAGCGGCAAGCAAUCAACCGCAAUAGACAUACAGAAGGGGAACGUGUGGAGGGCGGCGUUGACUAUGAAGACCGUCGCAGCUAUUGCAGAGGCCGUCCGGGACUUUCUUAGUCAAUUGGCUUUUCCGUCCUCGCAGCUCUAUUGUGGGGCUUGGCGUCUUGACCCCCGCCUCGUUGACUCUGGUGGCCAGGAAUGUGCAUCAGCUAAUUCAGUGGCUUGAGACCUGGCUACCCGGCUAUUAAAUAAUCAACUUUGUGUUGUUACGCAUGUCCGUGCUGCAAAAAACAUCCUAAAAAAAAAAAAAAAAAAAAAAAAAAAAAAAAAAAAAAUACAAAAAAAAAAUAAAAAAAAAAAAAAAAAAAAAAAAAAAAACAAAAACAAAACAAAAGUUUUUGUAGUCUUGCUUUUUCGCUAAAAUAUACUCUACUUAUUUUGAUUUAUGUAAGAUUUGCUAAUGGCAAGAAGCAACUGUAAAGCACUAAAUAAUCUGGUUCAAUUUAAUUCCUUUGUGGUCAUAAAGUCAUAAAAACUCUAGACAAGACUUCCUUUGGAAUUCUUUAACAUCUCGUUGCAUUCUCGCAUUAUAUAUGUAUUAUCCUCAAAAUACUAAAAACUCAACAUUUUUGUAUACUUUUAUAAAACACAAAUUAAAUGUAAAUGUAAAAGAAAAUAAUAUUCAUUUCACAGAUUAAUUAUGCAGCUUUAUUCAUAUGGUUA
This is a long non-coding RNA of Drosophila mojavensis, 1613 nucleotides long. RefSeq lists it as uncharacterized. The transcript is spliced from 2 exons. The record is from RefSeq and is a predicted model, not a curated record. Lineage: Eukaryota; Metazoa; Arthropoda; Insecta; Diptera; Drosophilidae.